GCGGGGCGGGGCGCGGGCGGGCGGGGGCGGCCUGGCGGGCAGGCCAGCGCCGCCGGCCCGGGGGGAGCCGGCCCGGGAGCCGGAGCCCGCGGCCGCCUCGGCGAACCUGCCGGCGCGGCGCUGGGGAGGAGUCCGGGGCGGUGGCGCAGGGCACGCGCGCUCGGCGAGGGCGCCCCCUCCAGGGCCGACUGCCGCCUGCGGGACGGGGCUGAGUGCCGGCUGGCCUGGGCGCCUCCAGACCCUGAGCAGAGGACCCGCUCCCCUGUGCCUGGACUCCUGGCCCGCAGGAACUGUGAGACAAUAAACGGUGCUGUUUGCAGCUGGUACGUCUGUGGGAAUUUGCUAUGCCGCUUAGAGAACUCAUGCACCCCCAUUCCUGGCUCGUUCUGGUGGAGAAGUAGUGAUGUGCCCAAGAAGGAGGAAGCCCUUCCCCGCCCAGGGGAAACUGGUGACACCACUAAGCAUCUCAUGAUGGACUCAUUUCACUUCCCCGCGGCUGGAGGAGAGAGGCCAUGUGACCGGUUCCCAGCCCAUAAGACCUCCCUGAUGACAAGUGAGAAAUGUGCAAGGAGGCCCGCUGCCUUCCUACCUGUUUGGUCAAGCAUGUGUGAGGACGUGACACCUGGAGCUGUAGCAGCUCUCUUGGGACCAGGAGGAACUGAAGAUGAGGAUGACGACGACGGGGAGAAAGAGCCUGUGUCCUUAAUGCUGUUGUUCUUGAGCCUGCACGUGAACCCCCCUGGAGCCACCCUUUGGCUAGAUUUCCUGCCGAGGGAGAUACUAAGUGGCCUUAUCGUUUACUGCCUUCUGGAAGGAAGGUUCCGAAACUUGAACUGAAUGAAUCCUGACCGAUUUGCUAUCCACAGCCCUGGGCUGCCUCCUUUGGAGAAUCACACCCAAGGAUGUCUGUGUCCUCAUCUCCAGAACCUCUGGCUAUGUGACCUUCCAUGGCAAAGGGGACUUUGCUGAUGGGAUCAAGUUAAAGAUCCUGAGAUGGGAGAUUAUCCUGGAAUAUCUGAGUGGACCCUAGAUGUCAUCACAGGGAAGGUGGGAAGACGAGGACGCGGGUCCCCCCUGGAGCCUCUGGAAGGAGCCACCCCGCCGACCCACUUCAAACUCCGGCCUCCAGACCUGCAAGGAAACGGGUUCACGUUCUUGCAUGCUGAAGCUUGUAAUCCUUUGUUGCAGCAGCCGGAGGAUGUGAACACAGAGCCCAGGGGGUUUGGGCCUGAAUGAGCGAACGAAUGAGUGAGUGAAUGUGGUAGGUACGACAGAACCCCGUGAACCGUCCAGUCGUGGGCGCAAGGGGUUCCAUCUCCACAGCCCUGUCUCGGCCGUCGAGUCACCAUGUGAUGUCGGAUGUCACCUGCCUUCUCUGGGCCUCAGUUUCCCUCCUGUGGUCAAGGAACAGGACUCAGUGGUCUUCCUGGAUGUGUGUCUCCCGCAGGCUGGCAGGUGCCAACGGGAGAGGACAGCCAGGCUGGGCCUGCAGCCUCUGACCCGUGGGGACCUGAGACACAUGGCUGGGCCUCUCCGGAUCACAGGAUCGCACCCGAAGGAGAGCUGGGGUUCUGUGUGUCGGUGUCCGGAAGGAUUGCAUGCUUGCCUGGCAGCGCUGGGGAAGGGAGGAGGCCUUGCAGGAUGGCUGACGGCAGGUUUUUCUUUCUAUGUCUCUGUAUUGUUUAACUUGUUCUGAGAGCUUGAGUUACUUGGGCAGAUAAAAAAUUCUAAUAAAAGAGAACUCAGAGCUCACCGUUGCCGGCACUGAGCAAGCUCCUGGUGAGUCACCGUUGACAUUGUCGUCAUGGCCACUGUUAUCUUGUAUCCCACCUGAUUGAGUCCACUUUUGAAGUGCCAUCAGGCCAGUCCCCAGCCCCUGCUUGGACACCCCGGGCAAGGGGGAGCUCACUGCUUGUCGAGCAGCCCACUUCACCUGGGAUAGCUCUGAUCAUCUCCGACAUUGAGCACGCAGUCUGGUGCCCCUCUGGGCUGGGUUGUGUGGCAGCAGUGGGCACACAGAAUCAGCCUCACGCCUUCCGAGAGAGAAGUGCACAGCCACAAGAGGGGCCCGAGCUGGCUGGGGCCAUCAGGGGCUUCCUGGAGAGGGGGCUUCUGCGCCUGGCCUUGAUGGUGGGGGAGAGACUUCCUCUGCCAGCAAGUUGCUUCUGAGCCGCUUCCCCCACGGCCCCUUGCACUGCCCCUGCCCCCCUCAGCCAAAUGCUCCCAGCCCCCGAGCUGUGACCCUGGAGUUGGCACAUUGCCUGUCUGGGCCGGCCUGCGUCCUCGGGCCCAGACCCCCGUCCAGGCUCCUUCCCCUGCAGACCUCCAGGGCGUUGUUAGGAUGCACAGCAGAUCUUGAGAGGCUCCCGUUUUAUUUCACCCUCUCGGGUCCCCUGAGGGUUGGGUGCUCUUUGCAUCCCCACUUUGCAGAGAGAUGAGAGAACGGAGGCUUCAGGGGGGCAGACGUGGCUGCCCAGGGCCCCAGGGAGCGUCUGGCGGGUUAGGACUCAGGCUCAGGCCCCUGCCCAUCCAGCCUCACUGCCCACAGUGGACGCCUCGUGGCGACCACCCACUCCAACGGAGACCACCCGGGGAAGCCCUGGCUCACUGCUGGGGGCUUCUCUCCCCAAAGUGGUCUCCCCAGGGACCCCCAGAUCACCACUGCUGUCCCACUGCUGGGGCUGCUGUCUCCCCUGUAGCCUGCUUGGGUGGGGCCCCCUGGCACUAAGCAGCCCUUGGUCCCAGUGCCCAGCGUGGGGAGCGAGCGCGUGGAGCUGCCUUCCAGAAGCCCUGCACGAGGAGGGCGCUUUGUUCCUGCUGUACCUGAAGAGAGUUGAGGCCCAGUGCGUGCUGAAGCCCGACUUCUCCCCAAGCCACCUUCGCUCUGCUCUGCCCUGUUGCCUCUCGCUGAGCACUGGGUGCAGGCAGGGCUCGGCCCUGACUGUAGACAGAGGCUGGGGAGCCGGGGUCACUGCCAGCUCUGGGCACGAGGGGAAAGCACAGGUGAGGUGUGCCGCAGCCCUGUGUGUGGUAGGGGCCACCCUCAUCCCCAGGCCGGACACCUCGGGUGGUGUGGCCCCACCUGGGGUCCCAGGACCGUGCCUGGGGGGAGCGGCGAGUCAAAGUAAGGCAAUUUCAUACCUUCAAUUCAUGGAUCUGACUGUAGCGGACACGAGCUUCAGAUCUAGGGGCCUCGGAGCCCUCCCGUUUUGUUUGGCUUGGGCUUUUUAGAGAGGAAAAUGCACAAGAGCCCUUGAGGUGUUUGGAGAAACAAGCUGAGGAUGCUCACCUUCAGCCUCACACUGUGAGGCUUCUCCAGCUUCCUGUGCUGAUCCUGGCUCCCAAGCUCUUCUGGAAGUCAAGGAGGCGGGUCCGCGACCCCCGCCAUGGCCCGGAGCCCCAGGAUGUGUGUGUUGGAGCCUGGAGUCUGAGGGCUCCAGCGCAGCCAGACCUGUGAUAUUUUCUUCUCCAGUCUUCCGUUCCCAGGAAGGCCCUGAUUUACAUCAGAAACUCAUCACACAGGAGGGAGCAGGGCUGGCCUGAGGUAGGAUUGUAAGUCAGGGUACAGGCGGUGCUGCUGUAACCAGGCGACCCCAAAACGCAGUGGCUUGGACAGAGUGUUGAUUUCUCUCCCACACCGAAGUCCAGACAGGGCGGGCAUGGCGCCCUCACUGGGUCGAGGAUCCUGGCAUCUUUGACCUUUCCUUGGCCGUGCCCAGCAGGCAGCUCCCACCUGGAGGUCUCAGUUGGCUGGUCCAUCGCUGGCCAUUGCCAUCACACCAUGGUCCACAGAGUGGGGUGGGAGGGCGUGGUCCUCCAGUCACAGGGCAUCUUCACACAGCCUUUGUGCUGACGUCCUGUUGGUCAGAACGUGGUCACAUGGCCACGCCCACUGCAAGGGAUACUGGGAAAUGUCGUCUAUAACAGAGUGGCCACAUGCCUCAUGUAUGGAGGGUCUGCAGACCUGGGAACUACUGACAUUUAGGGCUGGGCACCUCUUUGUCGUGGGUGCCAUCUGGGAAUUGCAGGAUGUUAGCAGCAUGCCUGGCCUCUUCCCACUGAUGUCGGGAGCACCCCCCAGUUGUGACCACCAAAAAUGUCCUCAGAUGUUGCCAGAUGUCCCUUGGGGGCAUAAUCAGUCCUAGUUGAGACCCACUGGGCCAUAACAAGGUUCCCAAACCCCAGUGUCCAGGGCCCCGGGCUGGGCUGGGCUGAGCCCAUGGAGCAGGCCCCCUCCAGAGGGGCAGUGUUCUCUGGGCUCCACCCUGCCAACGAUCAUGCCGGAAGAGGACAGAGGUCUGGAGUUUCUUGUGAAAUAUCCUAAUUGCUCACUGAUAGGCCUCAUUAAAAAAGGACGAAAGCUGUGUGGUUGUUAUGGGUUGAAUUGUGUCCCCCAAAAAAGAUAUGUCCAUGUCCUAAGCCCCAGUGCCGGUGAGGGUGGCCUUACUUGGAAAUAGAGUGUCGGCAGAUGUGCUCAAGUUCAGUGAGGUCGUCCUGGAGCGGAUGGCAUCCUUACAGGAAGAGGAACGUGGAGAAGAGGCAGAAGGCACAUGAAGAUGGGUGGAGGCAGGAGACGUGAGCACAGCCCAGGGACACUGGGGCCACCAGAAGCUGGAAGAGGCAGGAAGGACCCCCCAGAGCAUCGGAGGGCGCAGGUGGGCCGACCGCUUGACUUCAGACUCAGCCUGCAGACCUGGGAGGGAACGGGUUCCUGUUACUCUCGGCUACCCAGGCUGGGAGGCUAACCCUGCGUCCAGCACCUGUCUGCGGCCCUGCGGGGGAGGCUCCCCGCAGUGCCCCGCUGCCCGCUCCAGCUCCACAGGACGGUCUGUGGGUCGGAUUCCGCGUGCCCUGGGCCCAGAGCACAAACAGGAGGGCGAUGCUGCAGACUGCACGUCUGGGGGUUGCUGGGACAGUGAGGCGGGCCAGAUGGACAAGUCCAGCGCAGACCACCACAGCCUGAGCCAGCAGCCCCCGCUGAGCCUGGCCGGAGCAGGGCUGGUGUGGGGCAGCCUGCAGGAAAGGGUCUCUCCCGCCUGCCCCAGCCUAGCCUCGGUGCAGCCGGGUACCCCCAGACCUGCCGUUUCCUCGUCUAGCAAAUGGGGAGAAUCCAAUUUGCUGGGACCAGACAAGGACUUGAGCCCGGCCGGCUGCUGCCUGCAGCCCCAGUGUCUCUCCACAGCUCCCUUCGUGGGGCCCUGAACUCCCAGGUCCCACCUUAAUCGAUGCUCUGUAACUUUGGCGCCCUGCCCCGUCCCGGCCUCAGUUUACCCCUGAGACUGAGCGGCUCGGCUCUGAGUUUCUCAGGGCCUUCCCGGCUCUAUCAGUGCUGACUGGGCAGGUGGCGUUGUCGGCUGUUGCUCUGUGGGCGCAGGGGCCCGAGGGGAAAGGAUGAGAGAGGAAGCUGAUGGCGUCGGCUCUGGGAUUCUGCAGGAGGCAACGUGUCAGAGCCGCAGGCUCCUCCCAGCAGUGCCCGCGGAGCCGCCUGGAACCCGCGUGGGACGCGGCAAAGCUCUGUCCGCCAGGACGCAUCCCGUUCCUUUUCUAGGAAGCAGGAGUCGUCAGCCACCUCGCUCCAGAGACUGUUCCAACUGCAGCAGGAGGACGCCUGACCCCGCGAGGAAGGGAACACCUCCUGCAGGGCCGAGGAGCAGCCCUCAGGGCAGGAAGCCCCCUGUGCCUGCCCUUUCCUCUGUGGAGGUGACGCCUGGUGCCCUCAGGGUGGAGUCAGGGUGUCUGGACACUGACGGCUUCCCACCGUGGGUGCAGGGCGAGCGGGCGUCCAGAGGGGCGACAGUCCAGGGGCCCCGCAGCCAGACUACCCAGAGCUUGAAGCUGAGCGAGGACAGAGAAUUACUGGAUCCCAGGCCUUAGACUUGGGCGUUAUCCUCGUCCCCGGGGCGGCCUGGCUCCUGCCUCUACCCCGGCCUGGCCUCCAGUCUCCCCAUGGCCCCAGGAGGAUCUUUCCAGGUGGAGCUCUGAGCCCGCCAGCAGGAGGAGGUCCAAGCUGGUCCCCAGAACUCACCUGGCAGGGGGGGUUGGCCCUGGCGCCUCUCCCACCCGGCCGGGCCUUGCCUGCUCCAUUCUGAGAAUGCCGACCGCUCUGCCCCUCCCUGAUGCCCCUGUGCCUCCCCACUGCCACACCUUCGUGUGGGGGGCCCUCUGCACAGAGCACCUUCCCGCCAUGGCCUGCACAGCUCACUCUUCCUCGUCCAUCAGGAUCAGCUCAGCCACCUCCCCCAGGAGGCCCACCUGGGGCUCCUCACGCGCCUGGUGGCUGCCAGGCCCCGUCCUGGGGGGCUCCAUGUGUCUUAGGGCUCCUCAGGACAGAGACCCAGGUGUUCUACCUACAACAUCGCACCCUGGUACAGAUUGGGAUCCUUCAGCGUGGGUGGUGGCUGGAGACGUGAGUGACUGAGCAAGUGAGGAACAGAACAAAGCCUACCCCACACACAUGUGUGUCUCCAGCCCAGGCCUGGUGCUGGCUCCUGCCAUCGCUGACCCUCCCUGUGGGUCCCUUCUCCCUCCCUCUGCACAGUCUCCCGCUCCCCCAUGGCCCCUCCAAUGCACUGUGUGCCUCCUGACCCCACAGCAAGGCCGAGAAAGCCCGUUUAGCUAAAUCCACCGCAGACAGGGAAGAGGGCCCUUCCCGGCCUCGUGGCUCUCAGUCCACACGGCCACCUGGACUGUGUGCUGGAGCCUCGGGUGCCCGCCUCGCGGGGCUCCUGUGAGCUGCACGGGUGGAGGAGGCAGCCCACCUCCUGAGCCCCCAGCAACUCCUGGGGCGGCUCCAGCACCCUCCAAGCUGCUUUCAUCUGAUUGUGAGUUCUGCCCAACAGUCUCCAGUGGAGGACCCUUCCCCAACGGCGAGCCUGCUCCCGGCUCCUACUCCAUCCCCACACUGUUUAAGCCGACACAGUAAAUGCACUUGAGUCCCUGGGAGGAAGGCCACACUCCCAGGGGCCCACCCGUCAGCAGAGAUCGAGGAUGGGGUGCUGUGCCCACGUCUGUGCUCAACUCGGUGGAGCGUUUCGGUUUACAGCCCAGCCUUCCGUGCCUGCAGAAAGCCUCGCCUGCAGCCAUGCCGAGCCCCCAGGCCAGGGAAGCCCGUCUGCCCAGUGGUUCCCGAGGGAGCCAGAGAGCUGGCACAGGACCAGGGGCCGCCACGCCGGCGGGAGCCUCGUGCUGCCCUCUCUCAUUUUCCCAGGGCCAAACCGGGGCCAUGCAUCUCUAGGCCCAGUGCAGACUCGGGCCAAGGGCCGGAAGGUCUGUGGGCACCUCAGCACGGUUCCCUCCGCUCUCCCCUCGUAUCGUGCCCAGGCCUCUGGAUGCACCCUGCCGAGGGCAUCUCCUCGGCGAGGUUCGGAGAGCAGAGGGGCCGGCUCCUUGGGCAGAGGUGGGCAGACUUAUAAGCUGGUUUGGCCUGGACGUCUCCCCAGACCUGCCUUCCUGGUGAUGCCACAGCUCCAGCCCUUUGCCUGCCUGCAGCCCCCAGACCCUGAC
Molecule: long non-coding RNA, 7503 nt
Organism: Equus caballus (horse)
Lineage: Eukaryota; Metazoa; Chordata; Mammalia; Perissodactyla; Equidae
Source: Ensembl